RNAcentral lists this ribosomal RNA (250 nucleotides) under uncultured bacterium. Its description in RNAcentral is "partial 16S ribosomal RNA". It matches the Rfam family "Bacterial small subunit ribosomal RNA", at positions 524 to 773 of the family's 1533-position model. The record is from RNAcentral.
UACAGAGACCUCAAGCGUUAUCCGGAUUUAUUGGGCGUAAAGCGUGUGUAGGCGGUCUGAUUAGUCAGAUGUCAAAGACUGGGGCUCAACCCCAGGAAGGCAUUUGAAACGGUCAGACUAGAGAAUGUGAGAGAUUGCUGGAAUUCAUGGUGUAGUAGUGAAAUGCGUUGAUAUCAUGAGGAACACUCAAGGCGAAGGCAAGCAAUUGGCACAUUUCUGACGCUCAGACACGAAAGCGUGGGGAGCAAAC